UUACGGGGCGCAGCAGGCGCGAAACCUCUGCAAUAGGCGAAAGCCUGACAGGGUUACUCUGAGUGAUUUCCGCUAAGGGGAUCUUUUGKCACCUCUAAAAAUGGUGCAGAAUAAGGGGUGGGCAAGUCUGGUGUCAGCCGCCGCGGUAAUACCAGCACCCCGAGUGGUCGGGACGAUUAUUGGGCCUAAAGCAUCCGUAGCCGGUUCUGCAAGUCUUCCGUUAAAUCCAGCCGCUCAACGGAUGGGCYGCGGAGGAUACUACARGACUAGGAGGCGGGAGAGGCAAGCGGUACUCARUGGGUAGGGGUAAAAUCCUUUGAUCCAUUGAAGACCACCAGUGGCGAAGGCGGCUUGCCAGAACGCGYUCGACGGUGAGGGAUGAAAGCUGGGGGAGCAAACCGGAUUAGAUACCCGGGUAGUCCCAGCUGUAAACGAUGCAGACUCGGUGAUNGGCUAGCNUNGAGCCAUCCCAGUGCCGCAGGGAAGCCG
Molecule: ribosomal RNA, 489 nt
Filed under: uncultured crenarchaeote
Lineage: Archaea; Thermoproteati; Thermoproteota
Description: bacterial SSU rRNA
Rfam family: Archaeal small subunit ribosomal RNA
Source: RNAcentral